Long non-coding RNA from Lotus japonicus, 1408 nucleotides. RefSeq lists it as uncharacterized. The transcript has 3 exons. The record is from RefSeq and is a predicted model, not a curated record. Lineage: Eukaryota; Viridiplantae; Streptophyta; Magnoliopsida; Fabales; Fabaceae.
CCUGCAUAUGCAUAAUGAUUUCUUUAUCAAAGCAAUCAUGUACAGUCAUUGCACUAUGUCUCUAAAGACACAACACCCCUAAAUUGAACAACAAAAACAAGGAUCAAAAUCGUCGAUCAGCAAUUUCACGCAGCGAGCAACAAAAGCAAAGGCAAAUAAUCGCGUGAUGGUGAAGGGAAAAACAAAACUCUUCACUUCCCACCCUAAACCCUCAAUUCUUCAACAUUUUCCCCAAAUUCACAACCCAGAUCUUCAAAGCAAAGCCUAGAAGGUUCAAAUCGCAACCCAGAAGCUUCGAACCCAAAUCGGCCAUAACCGCGACAUCAUCUCCAUAUUCCCCUUUCCAGAUUCGUGUCCUCUUACUCCCGUUUCCGGCGCCGUCAACUCCUCCCUCUUCCUCUCUGUCCAAAUCGCACCACCACAGCUUCCUCUCUUCCAAAUCAACCACCACCGAGCCCUCUCUUCCCUUCACCCUCGCAACCGUGUCAACCCACCACAACCGAACCCUUCUCCUCAAAACGCGAACCAGCCUCCAUCUCCCACAUCUCCGAUCUGAAACCGACACCACCACUGCCUCCUCUCUGAAGUCGCGCUGCCACCACCACCUCUGGGUUUGCCACCGACAGUUGAUGAAGGAGACUGGAUAUGACUCUGUUGUUACUUGUUAGCCACUGAGAGUUUCCACAAGCAAGGAGUAGAAAGGGGUCUUAGGAUUGUUCAUUUACGUUUUUACCCUUUUGGCAUUCAUUCAAUUUUAACCGUUCAAUUAAAAUAUAUUAAAUCUAACGGUGAUUAUGCCUGAUCUAUCGGCACCUUUAUUUUAAUUUGGUGAUCCAUUUAGAUAUAAGAUUGUUGAGUUUUCUUAUUAUGAAUCAUAUCUUUAAAUAGGCUAAGAUUAGAUGCCAUAUCUAGAAGAUUCCUAUUACGAGUAACAAAUCUGCCUUAGAUUUUGAAUUUUUUUAAAGUAACCAGCAGUAAGCCCAAUUUCAACCCUAUAGGUUGCCUCGUGUAAGUUCCUGCCCUAAUCACUUGGCAGCACACAUUCGCGCCUUCUCCUUUCCCUCUCCAACGAGUUGUGAGCACAGUGAACGCCACAAAGUUUCUUCCUCUCACCCACGAUGAAAGAGCUUGUAUUAGCGGCUAUCACCAUAGGUGUAGUGAUCGUGGCGGCUUUUUGUUCUUGUUGUGGUGGUCCACCUUAUAACAACAAGUCAGAAGAUGAAGAUCCAGAGAAGGCUAUUCAAUGUUGAUCAAGUGAGAUGCCCCAAGAAGAUCACAAGUAGAAAAGUGCUUUGAAGGGAUGGAAAGUUUGCAAAUGUCAUCUUUAAUUAUUUUGAAGGUUAUUAUAUGACCUAUACUAGUAACAUUUUUAUUUAUGACUUGAGUUUUUGAAUAUUUAUAUCGUAGA